UACGUAGGGUGCAAGCGUUGUCCGGAAUUAUUGGGCGUAAAGAGCUCGUAGGCGGUUUGUCGCGUCUGCUGUGAAAACUCGGGGCUUAACUCCGGGCCUGCAGUGGGUACGGGCAGACUAGAGUGCGGUAGGGGAGACUGGAAUUCCUGGUGUAGCGGUGAAAUGCGCAGAUAUCAGGAGGAACACCGGUGGCGAAGGCGGGAUCCUGGGCCAGUACUGACGCUGAGGCACGAAAGCGUGGGUAGCAAACAGG
Molecule: ribosomal RNA, 253 nt
Filed under: uncultured bacterium
Lineage: Bacteria
Description: partial 16S ribosomal RNA
Rfam family: Bacterial small subunit ribosomal RNA
Source: RNAcentral